CCUACGGGGGGCAGCAGUGGGGAAUAUUGGACAAUGGGGGAAACCCUGAUCCAGCGACGCCGCGUGAGUGAAGAAGUAUUUCGGUACGUAAAGCUCUAUCAGCAGGAAAGAAAAUGACGGUACCUGACUAAGAAGCCCCGGCUAACUACGUGCCAGCAGCCGCGGUAAUACGUAGGGGGCAAGCGUUAUCCGGAUUUACUGGGUGUAAAGGGAGCGUAGACGGCAGCGCACGUCAGAUGUGAAAGCCCGGAGCUCAACCCCGGUACUGCAUUU
Molecule: ribosomal RNA, 273 nt
Filed under: uncultured bacterium
Lineage: Bacteria
Description: partial 16S ribosomal RNA
Rfam family: Bacterial small subunit ribosomal RNA
Source: RNAcentral